Long non-coding RNA from Pongo pygmaeus (Bornean orangutan), 790 nucleotides. RefSeq lists it as uncharacterized. The record is from RefSeq and is a predicted model, not a curated record. NCBI's taxonomy places the organism in Eukaryota, Metazoa, Chordata, Mammalia, Primates, Hominidae. The transcript is spliced from 3 exons.
GUCCAUUCCGCCUACCCCCCAAGCUGCAGGACCACAGCUGAUAACCUCUCAACUUUGGCCCAGCCACCCCGACUGGGGGAGGGCGGUAGGAGCGGAAAGCUAGUGUCCAGGCGAACCCGCACUAAGCACAGGAGAGGAGGAGCGAAGAGGCGGAGUCCUCACUGUUGUUGGGGUUUUCUGACCCUGAGGCCUCUUGGUUCCGUCCGGGCUCACCGUGUGGGGCCGGAGAUCAACGGCCCGGGAACGGUUCCCGGGAGCGGGGGCCGCUGCUGCUCCAGCAGCUGUAACAACCCGCUGCUGCAGUCUCCCCGCUGGCAGCUUCGGCCGAAUCAGCGCUCCGCGCCGGCCCCCGUACGUCACCGCCCCGCGCCGGCACACCCGACGCCUCCUGGGAGUUGUAGUUUCUUCCGCUGGCUCCGGGCCGGCCCGCCGGACGCCUCCUAGGAGUUGUAGUUUUUCCCGGGCUCCGUUUCCGGCCUCUUCGGGGACGCACGGUUGGAAGUUGUACCGUGACGUGAUGGUCAGAUCGGAUGAUAGAAUUUUGAAACCUCCCCAGCAUUAAGGCAAGAAAGGUGUCUGUUUUUUCCGAAGUGUGCCUGCUUGACUCCUUUGAUUUUUCUCUGGGAUUCUUCAUCCUCCAUCAAGUUGAUCGAGCCCUCUGGAUCUUGGUCAGUUUCCUGACAUCUCUAUGAAGUUCAGUGACCCAGACUGAGUCCACGUCUCAAAUAAGGUUCUGACUAAUGCAGAGUCUAACAGAAAGAUUACUGAACAUGUCAUGCACUAUUAAUAA